GAUGAACGCUGGCGGCGUGCCUAAUACAUGCAAGUCGAGCGAACAGACGAGGAGCUUGCUCCUUUGACGUUAGCGGCGGACGGGUGAGUAACACGUGGGUAACCUACCUAUAAGACUGGGAUAACUUCGGGAAACCGGAGCUAAUACCGGAUAAUAUUUCGAACCGCAUGGUUCGAUAGUGAAAGAUGGCUUUGCUAUCACUUAUAGAUGGACCUGCGCCGUAUUAGCUAGUUGGUAAGGUAACGGCUUACCAAGGCAACGAUACGUAGCCGACCUGAGAGGGUGAUCGCACACACUGGAACUGAGACACGGUCCAGACUCCGACGGGAGGCAGCAGUAGGGAAUCUUCCGCAAUGGGGGAAAGCCUGACGGAGCAACGCCGCGGGAGUGAUGAAGGUCUUCGGAUCGUAGAACGAUGUUAUUAGGGAAGAAGAAACGUGUAAGUAACUGUGAACGUCUUGACGGUACCUAAUCAGAAAGCCACGGCUAACUACGUG
This 497-nucleotide ribosomal RNA is filed under the name uncultured bacterium. Its description in RNAcentral is "partial 16S ribosomal RNA". It matches the Rfam family "Bacterial small subunit ribosomal RNA", at positions 28 to 507 of the family's 1533-position model. The record is from RNAcentral.